Molecule: transfer RNA, 73 nt
Filed under: Bradyrhizobium sp. CCBAU 051011
Lineage: Bacteria; Pseudomonadati; Pseudomonadota; Alphaproteobacteria; Hyphomicrobiales; Nitrobacteraceae
Description: tRNA-OTHER
Source: RNAcentral
CGCGGGGCCUCGGUAGGGAAGGGGCCGGCUCAUAAGGCUGGAGUGGCGGGUUCGACCCCCGUACCCGCGACCA